This 234-nucleotide unclassified non-coding RNA is filed under the name uncultured Agaricales. Its description in RNAcentral is "sequence contains ITS1". The record is from RNAcentral. Lineage: Eukaryota; Fungi; Basidiomycota; Agaricomycetes; Agaricales.
CAGAAAUACUUGGUUGGGUUGUUGCUGGUUCUUUGGAACAUGUGCACACCUACAUCAACAUUUUUCUUUACCCACCUGUGCACCUUGUGAUGGACCCUAGAUACUUUUCGAGCAUUUUCCUCGGUUUUUUGGGGGAAUAGCUUUAUGUAGCUUUUCCUCUACAUUUCUAGGUCCAUUGUUAUUUAUACACAUUUGUUUUAAAAAAGAACAUGUUUUAUUAUUAAAAUAAUAAUA